RNAcentral lists this transfer RNA (68 nucleotides) under Acisoma panorpoides. RNAcentral describes it as "tRNA-Trp". The record is from RNAcentral. Lineage: Eukaryota; Metazoa; Arthropoda; Insecta; Odonata; Libellulidae.
AAGACUUUAUGUUAAGUAAACAAUUAACCUUCAAAGUUAAAAUUAUAAGAUAAAUCUUAUAAGUCUUA